RNAcentral lists this long non-coding RNA (1953 nucleotides) under Daucus carota (carrot). RNAcentral's name for it is "long non-coding RNA (DCAR_LNC002248)". The record is from RNAcentral. Lineage: Eukaryota; Viridiplantae; Streptophyta; Magnoliopsida; Apiales; Apiaceae.
UGUAAAUUACUUUGUCUUUUCCCAUAAUGAUCACGAAUUAGUCCAAAGAGUAAUGAUAGUAUCGUAAGUUACUAAUUCUCCUAAAACGCUAAAGAUUUUGCGAAGGGAGUUUAGCAUGUUUAUACGUCAAAUAGGUCUCGAACAAGCUCGAAUCAAAAGACAGGGGAACAAGUGUAGGAAGGCACAAGAUGCAUCUUUUAACGAGUGUGUUCGGUUGGCGUGGUGGCUGGUUUCACCACAGAAGCAAGGCUACAGCCCCACCCAAUAGAUCAUCCAAACAUUUUGACUCUAAUGGAGGUAAAGAAGAGACCUUUUCUCAGGUGCUCUCCUUUAUGAUUGCCCUCUCAAAUUUGUGCUACUUUCAUUUCUAUCAGUUUGUGUACUCCACUCAAGAGACCUCAUGCAUUCUUCUCCAUGGUAAGUAAAGAGGAGUCCUUAUUUCUAUGCAUCAAUCAUGUUUCCUUCUCUAUCUAUCUUUCCAUUGGUUUCGACUUUCUUGGCUUGGGAUCCACACAUUUUUUGGCAAAUUAGCAAUGCCAUUAUUAGUAUCAUCUUCGCUAAGCAAAAUUUAAAAGAAAAUACUACAAGAUAGAGCAAACAAAUUGCUCUUGUCCUAUACAGGAUUUUGAGGUCUUUGUUUUUUGGUAAAAGCAUUUUGGGCUUAAAAAUACAAGCAAAUAACAAAAAUCUGAAAAAGAGAAUCAACAUCUUCUUCCUUUCUUAGGUGUUGUCAGGAACUUUCGAUCGGUUUUCACUUUGUUAAAUCUCAAAGUCAAUUAUUUUUUUUCCUUUAUUCUUAUUUUUUAAUGCUUUAUUCUUAUUUUUUCAAUAAUACUCCUCUCCAUGUAAGGAUUUCUAACUCUCUAUUUUGCAUUGUUUUUUUAUAAAAUUACAAAAUCUUUUGUGUGAGCUCGGUGUGUUUUUUUAUGUGUUUUGGUGUAAUUUAAUGUUUGGACGUUAAAUUUGUUGGAUUUUCAAGAGUUUUAUUCAGUCAUAAAAAAAUUGUAUGGAAUUGCAAUCAUUGUGACCGAGUAAAUAACUCUACGAACGAAUGGAUGGGAUCCACUUGGAAAAUGGGAAGAUUUGUACAAGUUACAUGUCUCGUCACCACCAUCUUAUGAAAUAAUCAUUAGGUAUGAAUAUGUUAGAUACCUAUAACUCGAUUGUUAAAAUCGUAUCUCUCCACUAAGUAGCAUGCUUUUACCGACCCACAAAGAAAAGAUACCUCAAACUGGUUGUGGUGAAGCCGAUAUAUGUACAUAUAUUAACUUUAACAAAUCGCUUCAUUGUAUCUUCAUAGAGACUAGAUUAUUCAACGAUAUAAUAUGUUUUAUGUUUAUUCGAGACUCUUAUCGAUUAUUUUUAUAGAUGUUUUAUGUUUUUUCAUUAUUGAAUUAAUUAUUUUUUUCAAAAAAAAAAACAAAAAAGAUAAGAGAAACUAAUGUGGAGUCUGAAUGAUAACGGGGAAACUCGAAAAUGAGAAUAAUAACGGGAUUAGGGGUUAUUCAAAAAAUAAUGCAGUUAAGGAGGAUAAUAUAAAACUAAAAAGCCGUGUAUAAAAUGAGAUUCUCGUCAAAUUGAUAGCCUAAAUAGUACUCCCUCCGUCUCAGGAAAAAAAAAUUAUCCCAAAAUAUUUGUCCCUCUCUUCUUUCAAUACAAAUUUAUCUACAUCUUAAAUGUGAUUUUUUUGAAACUCGACAUUAUUCUCAUUUCUCAAUGCACUAAAUCUCUAUAUUUAUUGUGAUUUUUUUGAAACUCAAUAAUAUUCUCACUUAUCAAUGCACUAAUUAAUGAUACAUAUGAUAAGAUUCCAUCUAACCAAAUUUUUUCUUAAUAUGUGUGUUUAUUCCAGAAUUGACUUAUAAAUUGAGACGGAGGGAAUAUACAAUGAGAUAAAAGGUAUGGUUUUCGUUCAUGGAUCACACGCUACUCAAUUUUUUCAUCAUAAACACC